AAAGGAAUUGACGGGGACCCGCACAAGCAGCGGAGCAUGUGGUUUAAUUCGAAGCAACGCGAAGAACCUUACCUGGACUUGACAUCCCUGUGACCGUUUUUUAAUCGAAACCUUCCCUUCGGGGACACAGGAGACAGGUGGUGCAUGGUUGUCGUCAGCUCGUGUCGUGAGAUGUUGGGUUAAGUCCCGCAACGAGCGCAACCCCUGUUUUUAGUUGCCAGCAAGUGAAGUUGGGCACUCUAAAGAGACUGCCAAGGUAAACUUGGAGGAAGGUGGGGAUGACGUCAAAUCAUCAUGCCCCUUAUGUUCAGGGCUACACACGUGCUACAAUGGCCGAUACAACGGGCAGCGAAAGAGCAAUCUGGAGCAAAUCCUAAAAAAUCGGUCCCAGUUCGGAUUGUGGGCUGCAACUCGCCCACAUGAAGUCGGAGUUGCUAGUAAUCGCGAAUCAGCAUGUCGCGGUGAAUGCGUUCCCGGGUCUUGUACACACCGCCCGU
RNAcentral lists this ribosomal RNA (497 nucleotides) under uncultured bacterium. RNAcentral describes it as "bacterial SSU rRNA". It matches the Rfam family "Bacterial small subunit ribosomal RNA", at positions 903 to 1397 of the family's 1533-position model. The record is from RNAcentral.